GCUUUUCUUCCCUAGAAACCCAACUCUACGCAGAAAAAGUGAAAAGGAAAAAAAAAACACAAAAAAAACCAGAAAAAAAAGCUAUAAAAAGUUUUAAAAGAAGGCAGCAAAGGGUAGUUUCCAUCUGGUGUCUUUUAUUUAAGUUUUUUAAGUUAAGAAAAGCUGGUGACAUAUUUAUACGUUUUUGUGCAAAAAAUAAAUGAAUGGCAAUAGAUUUAAAGAAAUCUUAUUAUGUACUUCUGUGUGCAAAAGUCUGUAUAAUAUUUCCCCUAAAUAUGCAUUAUUUUACCUGUGAGUUUUUUACAGAAUUAAUCUGAAAUGUACAAGCCCUGGAUUUGCUACAGAGUGAGAAGUUAUUUUAUUUUAUUUUUUUUUUAUUUUUUAUUUUGAGAAAACUGCAGAAAUCAGAACUCCUACCAUGGUUUGAAAAGGGAGGCGGGAGGGGAGGCGGGAGGGCUGGUCCGGCAUGCCUGUAUGUAUCUCUCAAGAGCCUUUUUUUUAAAAUGUAAAAGCUGUACAUUUUUGGGAAGUUCUGAUUUUCUUUUUCUUUUUUUUUUUCUUUUUGUUUCCUUUUACCUUCAAGCAUUUUGCAGUGCGCUUCUUUUAUAUCUAGCAGACAAUUGGAAAGAAAUACAAAACCUAUGUGACGUUCAUUUAAGAACCACAGCCCAGUGCUGGUUCAAUACACUAAAGACUUUGAUAAAAGAGAAUCAAUGGCAAAGGUCUCCAUUUUAAAUGUCAUUCAUAUAUACCUUGUGGAUGAGAGCUAUAUACUUUUACACACUUUUUUAGAGGAAUAAAUUAUUGAAUUAC
This 813-nucleotide long non-coding RNA is filed under the name Mus musculus (house mouse). Its description in RNAcentral is "long non-coding RNA chr5:118764620-118765433". The record is from RNAcentral. Lineage: Eukaryota; Metazoa; Chordata; Mammalia; Rodentia; Muridae.